Molecule: long non-coding RNA, 1868 nt
Organism: Phacochoerus africanus (Common warthog)
Lineage: Eukaryota; Metazoa; Chordata; Mammalia; Artiodactyla; Suidae
Exons: 3
Source: RefSeq, a predicted model, not a curated record
AAAUAGCAAAAAGACAAAAAAAAAAAAAAAAAGACACUUGUGGCUUCUUGAAGAGCGAGAAAAGAGAACCGGUGGACAGGAACUGACCAAAGGAGUUCAAAAUCGGUGAAAUGAUGGUGAGAGAGUCCUUGAGAUCGGAGGGGAGGGGAUGUGGGACAGAAAUAGAGAUUUCUCAUUUCCUUAGAAUUCAGUUUGUCCCAUUCACAGCUGUCAUAGACGUAGACACACACCUUUCCCAAUCCCAGUUUCUAGUCUAAAGAGCCCAACUUCCUAACAGGCAACGAAGCCCUGAUCCGCAGCUCAGCUGUGUCACCUAGAGCAGGUCCCUUAGGCUCUGUAAGCCUCAGUUUUCUCAUUAGUAAAAUGGGAUAAAUAAUAGUACCUACCACAUAUUGUUGCUACAAGAUAACACACACAAAGAGCUUAGUUCACUGCCCAGCUACUAGUCUGGGGGUUGUCUCUCUGGCAGAGUGGAGUCUGGGCUGUAUGGUCUGUGAUGUCACAAUGCCUCACUAGACUCCAGCUUCUCCACGAGGGAGUUGCAGAUCCUUAGGAGCUAAGGACUGGAACGGACAUGAGAGACCUCUACCAACUGAGGGUUGCCAAGCGUACUCCUUUGCCAAGAUCCUGGUGACUAGGCUUUCACUGUGCAAUUGUGUCUUAGAAAUUGUUUUACUUGGUAUCAUGAUCGUUCUCAGCUGGAUGCUCUUUGUUGGAUUUGCCUGUUACAUGGGCACGUUUCCAGAGUUCAUGGUAAGUGAUGACCCUGCCUCUUAAUCCCUGGUAGUCAGUUCUGGCUCUGACUACUCUCCCAGCUGGGGUAUCUGACCCAACAGGAAAGAUAAUUAAGAUCUCACUACUACUUAGAGAUCAGGAGGUGGUGGGAACCAAGUUUAGUUUCCCAGGCUUCUUCUCAUCCCAUUAGGAUGUCUUUAAGGCUUUUCCCCUCCACUUGGGUACAAAACAUCACUUAUUUCAAAGCACUAUGGAAUUUAUACAGGGUCUGCUGGAGAUGGUGCCCGACUUCCAGAUUUCAGGCUAAGUGGAUCAGUGGUUGCUGAGAGGAAAGGGAAUGUGGACACUGGUGGGAGCUUCGGCAGCGCUUCCAGUCACAUACAGAGGCAUUUACCUCCUGGGCUAACCCAUCAGGCCAGCUCUGCCUUUAAAUUUCUUUCUGUCUCAGCCUCCAACUCUGAAGUGGAAAGAGAGGUGGGCUGUUCAGGAAAGCAAAGCGCACCCGAGGAGCCAGACUUUGGAUGAAGAUCUGCAACUGGACAAUGUGGAAGGGAUAUAAGUAUCCCCCCGGAGGGACCCCGGUGGAAGUAAGCAAAGAUGAUCCUGGUGAAGUAAUGCAGCUCUGAAGCUUUCCUGACCAGCUAUACGGUUCCUGCUGUUGCUUUCACAUAAAGUAAUUGCACAUUAUUUUGUCACAUUUAAUGUAAGAAGUUGUCACGCUUUUAAAGAUGAAUGAAGAAUUGGUAUUCUGUUAGCUUAAAACAGGGAGCUGGAGGGUGGGGAGGGAGUUGGGUGGAUGGGAGUGAUUGGGUCCCCUCUGUUUCAUAGUCUCUAAGACUGACAUUAAGACUAAGAUACCUAGUUCAGUUUGUUCCCUAUUCUGUGCCCUUGUGGAUAGAAAUUCACUGUUUCUAUAUAAUGCUUUCUCCUGGGUCCUGGGUCCAGGGUCCAGGGCUGAAAAAAAUGUUACAGAAAGGGUUAGAGAUCACAGCAACUUUAAGCCUAUUCUUUGGGGGGUUUUAUUUCUCUGUGGCCUUUUCACAGCCAUCAUUAAGAACCCAAAACUUGCACUAUGUGGGGAAAGACAUUUUAAUAUUUGGUGCUAGAGGAGUUCCCAAAAAGGUUCAGUGGUU